RNAcentral lists this ribosomal RNA (253 nucleotides) under uncultured bacterium. Its description in RNAcentral is "partial 16S ribosomal RNA". It matches the Rfam family "Bacterial small subunit ribosomal RNA", at positions 524 to 776 of the family's 1533-position model. The record is from RNAcentral.
GACAGAGGCCACGAACGUUGUUCGGAAUCACUGGGCCUAAAGCGCACGUAGGCGGCUAGGUCCGUCGGAUGUGAAAGCCCCCGGCUCAACCGGGGAAUAGCAUCCGAUACAGCCUGGCUUGAGGACGGUUGGGGUGAGUGGAACUCCUGGUGGAGCGGUGAAAUGCGUAGAUAUCAGGAGGAACACCGGUGGCGAAAGCGGCUCACUGGACCGUUACUGACGCUGAGGUGCGAAAGCUAGGGGAGCAAACGGG